UACAUAAAGAUAGGCCAGGGACAUAUGUGUUACCUUGCAAAGCACCACAGGUUUGGCCAUCAUGUUUGCGCCACCUCUCCUAGUUUUCCGGUAGGAACAAAAAAUUAAAAUAUGUCGUCUUUUUUUCGCUACCACCACCAAACCCCAAACAACAUUUAAGAAAACCCAACAGCAUUUAAGAAAGCCCAACAGUACUGAUGCAUUUAUCAUUCCUAUCCUUAUAAUACUAAACUGAAAUCUGAUUCUCUUGGAGGUUUGAAAAUAUUCGAAAAGAUCCAUCUUUGUAAUGCCAUAACGAUUCAUGAGUACAAAAAUCGCCAAAUAGACCAAAAAAUUGCUAGAAUUAGCUCAGUUCAAGUGCUACAACAGGAACCUGCGUAUAUAAAUAUAACCGUAGUUCGAAGAGGUGGGCGCUCACAUCUUUCUCCACUGUCGGCUGUCACCACAGGGCACCACUCCAACCCCUUUGUUAUCAGCAUAUACCUAAAUAUUGGUACAGCCAAAUUUACAAAAUUUAUAUAUAUUGUAUGAUAACAAUAUAGUAUAUUUUUUUUAGGCUAUAAACCAAAGGUGAUUGUCCAAAGUUUAUAUGCUGCUAUCAACUAUCUCUCUAUAUAUAGUGCACGUGCUCAACCAUUUUAUUUUAACUAUACAACUAACGCCUGUUAGCACAAGCGUAGAACAUAAAAUAGCUUGUUUAUCCUCUUGGCAAUAAAUUAAAACAGCGAACCCCAGUUUCUAGUUUUGCGUGUUUCGCUCGAAGAAAAAAAGUAAAUGGAAGUGAAAGCUCAGCCCAUUGCAUGAAUAGCUACUAUAUUAUUGGAAUCUGGAAAUUCUGGCUCACAUAUUGCUUGCCUUCAACCUUCGAAAAUUUAAACUGAAGAGUGGAGCGAUGUGGAAACCUAAGUAGCAGCAAUUUGUUUUCUGCUAACCUCCCUCUCAGAUAUCACUUCCUUCACCAACAAAAUAGAUGUGCACCCACAGGAUAAAAAUCCAUGUGUGUAGACCUAGCAAUGCAUGUGUGAGCUCAGAGUCUCGUUUUUUCGGCAAGGACAUGAAAGGUAACCCUUAACUAACCCUUGACAUCUGGAAGAAUUAAACACUACCUGCUUAUGUGCCCUCACCAACACGCUUCAUACUGAUUUAGGAUGGUCUUGUCUCAGCUAAAUUGUCUUCAUGUUCAUGCUGCAAUUUUCUUUGCCUUUAAACAAUAAAUUGUAGAUGUGGAAACAGUAGAGAAUAGUCUAUAUGCGCACCAAAUGAGGGAAACAGAAGUAUCACCCAUAUGAAAAACGUCACUAUGCGACCAUAAAUUUUCAGGAAAUGAUAGCAUGGUGAGAUUCAUCGUGUAAUAAUGAUUAUAAGCACAUGCAUACAUUUGAACAAACAGAAGAUUAAGAAAGAGGAACAUGCAACAAAAAAAGCUUUAGAAAAGCAGUACUAAUUUCACCUCUGCAACAGAGAAAGUACAAUUAGUUGCCAUUUCCUACUGAUGGCUAAUUGCCUGAAUAAAAAAUGAGCAGUAGGUAUAAUGAUGGUGUUAUUUUCUUCCGCAAGCACCAAAACUUCGCCAAAAACGUAAAAUAUAUUGGGAGCAUUGUACCUUUAUUUUCGCUAUAAUCCUUGCUCUUGCUUCUAGAAUAUAUGAUGGCAAUGCGAGCUAGCCAGCGUCUUCAUAUUAGUCCAUCCAAAAAGCACACCAAAGUUAACAGUUGGAUUGAUUGUAUUAUCUCUGAAACGCCAUUAUCAGAAAUUUAGUUGAUGCUUAAUAGUAAAUAGAAGUGCAGGGCUUGCUUAUCACACUUACUUAGGACUCAUGGGCCUUAUCUAAUUCCCCUCCAAAGCAAACCACCUUUCUAUGCGAAAUGGGCAAAUGUGUAGGCAAAAAUGCUAUAUACCAAAGAGUAUAUGGCAAUCUAAACUGAAGUGCUACUCACAAGAAACCGAAUAUGAUAACAUGUUGUUGCUUGCUCUAAUAAUAAAUAGGGUGUUGGAAAGGAGGGGGGUCUAUUUUAUUAUACAGUUUAGUUUAGUGAUCUGGUAAAAAAUAAGGGCAUGUCCAAACCAGACAUGCGCAAGAGCCUCAAAUCCAUCGGGACACUUUGGUUAGAUCAGAAUGAGCAGAAAUGAAAAAUAGUGGCAAAUUCAGCACAAGGGAAAACAAGUUUUGCAUCUACACAACAGUGAAGCAAGGUAAUGAGCUAAAUUAGUGGACCUAGCACAUAUCUGAUUCACUCUACACUGUAGGCUUACAUAGCAUCACAGUAAUCUCCGGUCACUCAUACGAAACCAAGCAAAUUGAAGACCAAGAUUUGCAUAUGGUAAAUGAAGGAAUGAAGCCAUACGUGCAGGAGAAAUUCGUCGCAUCGUGUUGCAAAACCAGAAAAGUAAAACCAAACCCCCUCUCCUAGAGCCUCUUCCCUAUGAUUUUCUUAGACACCAUGGGAAUGAUGGGGGCAGAAGUUUAGAGCUAGCAUGGAAAGGGACACCAUGGUACAUUGAAAAGGAGAGGCUCUUUGUACAGCAAAACAGCUCAGUGCACUCGGCGGGCAAGGUUGCGGAAGGAGGGUUGCUGCCAUCAGGGUAGGAAUCAACCCUCACCCAAACCCUAUCUGCAUAAGAACAAAAAAAGGAAGGAAUUAAUUAGUGGGAUGAGCUCAGGUCAAAAAAUGAGGAAAGGAGUAAGAAAGGGCUCACCUGUGCUGGUGUCUCCGCCACGAAUUGGGAGCUGUCCUUGACAUCUCCUCUCACUACCGGAAUCGCCCCCUAUGCCGAGGGCCAGGGCCGUCGGCAUAGCCCUUAGACCCGUCGGGAUAGGCCUAUGCCGACGGCCCCCGUCAGCAUAGGGCCGUCGGCAACAUAU
This 2863-nucleotide long non-coding RNA is filed under the name Triticum aestivum (bread wheat). RNAcentral's name for it is "long non-coding RNA (TAES_LNC021792)". The record is from RNAcentral. Lineage: Eukaryota; Viridiplantae; Streptophyta; Magnoliopsida; Poales; Poaceae.